CCUACGGGUGGCAGCAGUGGGGAAUAUUGCACAAUGGGGGAAACCCCGAUGCAGCGACGCCGCGUGAGUGAAGAAGUAUUUCGGUAUGUAAAGCUCUAUCAGCAGGGAAGAAAUAAAGUCCUUCGGACUUUGGACGGUACCUGACUAAGAAGCACCGGCUAACUACGUGCCAGCAGCAGCGGUAAUACGUAGGGGGCAAGCGUUAUCCGGAUUUACUGGGUGUAAAGGGAGCGUAGACGGCAGCGCAAGUCUGGAGUGAAAUCCCAUGGCUUAACCAUGGAACUGCUUUGGAAACGGUGCAGCUGGAGUGCAGGAGAGGUAAGCGGAAUUCCUAGUGUAGCGGUGAAAUGCGUAGAUAUUAGGAGGAACACCAGUGGCGAAGGCGGCUUACUGGACUGUAACUGACGUUGAGGCUCGAAAGCGUGGGGAGCAAACAGGAUUAGAUACCCCUGUAGUC
RNAcentral lists this ribosomal RNA (457 nucleotides) under uncultured bacterium. RNAcentral's name for it is "partial 16S ribosomal RNA". It matches the Rfam family "Bacterial small subunit ribosomal RNA", at positions 338 to 795 of the family's 1533-position model. The record is from RNAcentral.